Molecule: ribosomal RNA, 335 nt
Filed under: uncultured Acetivibrio sp.
Lineage: Bacteria; Bacillati; Bacillota; Clostridia; Acetivibrionales; Acetivibrionaceae
Description: bacterial SSU rRNA
Rfam family: Bacterial small subunit ribosomal RNA
Source: RNAcentral
UCGGGAAUAUUGCGGCAAUGGAGGAAACUCUGACGCAGUGACGCCGCGUAUAGGAAGAAGGUUUUCGGAUUGUAAACUAUUGUAGACAGGGAAGAUACAAGACAGUACCUGUAAAGUAAGCCCCGGCUAACUAUGUGCCAGCAGCCGCGGUAAUACAUAGGGGGCGAGCGUUAUCCGGAAUUAUUGGGUGUAAAGGGUGCGUAGACGGGAAUUUUAAGUUAGUUGUGAAAUCCCUCGGCUCAACUGAGGAACUGCAACUAAAACUGGAUUUCUUGAGUGCGGGAGAGGAAAGUGGAAUUCCUAGUGUAGCGGUGAAUGCGUAGAUAUUAGGAGGA